This 122-nucleotide non-coding RNA is filed under the name Syntrophotalea acetylenica. RNAcentral's name for it is "Pelobacter acetylenicus MoCo sequence". It matches the Rfam family "Molybdenum/Tungsten riboswitch aptamer (Moco RNA motif)". Lineage: Bacteria; Pseudomonadati; Thermodesulfobacteriota; Desulfuromonadia; Desulfuromonadales; Syntrophotaleaceae. The record is from Rfam by way of RNAcentral.
AUGUGCGCCAGUCUCCGAGCCAGUCUUGCCUAAGGGGAAGGCCCCCAGGGCAGGCGGCCAAAGGGUUCCGCUGGAAACGGCGGUGCCUCCCGCGCUUGGAAAGGAGAUAUGCCCGGAAUUCC